UACAGAGGUCCCAAGCGUUGUUCGGAUUCACUGGGUUUAAAGGGUGCGUAGGAGGGCAGGUAAGUCAGUGGUGAAAUCCCCGAGCUUAACUUGGGAACUGCCGUUGAUACUAUCUGUCUUGAAUAUCGUGGAGGUGAGCGGAAUAUGUCAUGUAGCGGUGAAAUGCUUAGAUAUGACAUAGAACACCAAUUGCGAAGGCAGCUCGCUACACGAAUAUUGACUCUGAGGCACGAAAGCGUGGGGAUCAAACAGG
This 253-nucleotide ribosomal RNA is filed under the name uncultured bacterium. Its description in RNAcentral is "partial 16S ribosomal RNA". It matches the Rfam family "Bacterial small subunit ribosomal RNA", at positions 524 to 776 of the family's 1533-position model. The record is from RNAcentral.